GAUGAACGCUAGCGGCAGGCCUAAUACAUGCAAGUCGAACGGGCGGUAGCAAUACCGCUAGUGGCGCACGGGUGCGUAACGCGUAACCAACCUGCCCAGAUCUGGGGGAUAGCCCGCCGAAAGGCGGAUUAAUACCGCAUAAACCCACAGUGUGGCAUCACAUAAUGGGUAACGAUUUAUCGGAUCUGGAUGGGGUUGCGUAGCAUUAGCUAGUUGGCGGGGUAAUGGCCCACCAAGGCGACGAUGCUUAGGGGACCUGAGAGGGUGAUCCCCCACACUGGCACUGAGAUACGGGCCAGACUCCUACGGGAGGCAGCAGUAGGGAAUAUUGGGCAAUGGGCGAGAGCCUGACCCAGCCAUGCCGCGUGCCGGAUGAAGGCCUUCUGGGUUGUAAACGGCUUUUCUCAGGGAAGAAAACGGGGAUGCGUCCUCAACUGACGGUACCUGAGGAAUAAGCACCGGCUAACUCCGUG
Molecule: ribosomal RNA, 473 nt
Filed under: uncultured bacterium
Lineage: Bacteria
Description: partial 16S ribosomal RNA
Rfam family: Bacterial small subunit ribosomal RNA
Source: RNAcentral